Molecule: ribosomal RNA, 130 nt
Filed under: Escherichia coli
Lineage: Bacteria; Pseudomonadati; Pseudomonadota; Gammaproteobacteria; Enterobacterales; Enterobacteriaceae
Also listed under: 27 other names
Description: partial 16S ribosomal RNA
Rfam family: Bacterial small subunit ribosomal RNA
Source: RNAcentral
AAAUUGAAGAGUUUGAUCAUGGCUCAGAUUGAACGCUGGCGGCAGGCCUAACACAUGCAAGUCGAACGGUAACAGGAAGCAGCUUGCUGCUUUGCUGACGAGUGGCGGACGGGUGAGUAAUGUCUGGGAA